Molecule: transfer RNA, 73 nt
Filed under: Muribaculaceae bacterium
Lineage: Bacteria; Pseudomonadati; Bacteroidota; Bacteroidia; Bacteroidales; Muribaculaceae
Description: tRNA-Met
Rfam family: tRNA
About the family: Transfer RNA (tRNA) molecules are approximately 80 nucleotides in length. Their secondary structure includes four short double-helical elements and three loops (D, anti-codon, and T loops). Further hydrogen bonds mediate the characteristic L-shaped molecular structure. tRNAs have two regions of fundamental functional importance: the anti-codon, which is responsible for specific mRNA codon recognition, and the 3' end, to which the tRNAs corresponding amino acid is attached (by aminoacyl-tRNA synthetases). tRNAs cope with the degeneracy of the genetic code in two manners: having more than one tRNA (with a specific anti-codon) for a particular amino acid; and 'wobble' base-pairing, i.e. permitting non-standard base-pairing at the 3rd anti-codon position.
Source: RNAcentral
CGCGGAGUGGAGCAGUUGGUAGCUUGCCGGGUUCAUUCCCCGGAGGUUGCAGGUUCGAGUCCUGCCUCCGCCA